GAUGAACGCUGGCGGCGUGCUUAACACAUGCAAGUCGAACGAAGCACUUUAUUUGAUUUCCUUCGGGACUGAUUAUUUUGUGACUGAGUGGCGGACGGGUGAGUAACGCGUGGGUAACCUGCCUUGUACAGGGGGAUAACAGUUGGAAACGGCUGCUAAUACCGCAUAAGCGCACAGCAUCGCAUGAUGCAGUGUGAAAAACUCCGGUGGUAUAAGAUGGACCCGCGUUGGAUUAGCUAGUUGGUGAGGUAACGGCCCACCAAGGCGACGAUCAAUAGCCGACCGGAGAGGGUGACCGGCCACAUUGGGACUGAGACACGGCCCAAACGCCUACGGGAGGCAGCAGUGGGGAAUAUUGCACAAUGGGCGAAAGCCUGAUGCAGCGACGCCGCGUGAGCGAAGAAGUAUUUCGGUAUGUAGAGCUCUAUCAGCAGGGAAGAUAAUGACGGUACCUGACUAAGAAGCACCGGCUAAAUACGUGCCAGCAGCCGCGGUAA
Molecule: ribosomal RNA, 497 nt
Filed under: uncultured bacterium
Lineage: Bacteria
Description: partial 16S ribosomal RNA
Rfam family: Bacterial small subunit ribosomal RNA
Source: RNAcentral